Mesoplodon densirostris (Blainville's beaked whale) is the source of this 3744-nucleotide long non-coding RNA. RefSeq lists it as uncharacterized. The record is from RefSeq and is a predicted model, not a curated record. The transcript has 5 exons. Lineage: Eukaryota; Metazoa; Chordata; Mammalia; Artiodactyla; Ziphiidae.
GCGCUCGGGUUACAGCCGCCGCUCCCUUGCUCCCCCGCCCGCGCCUCGCCGGUUCGCCCGCGCCGGGAGACAGUGUAACGGAACUUGGACGCCAGCGCUGCAUUGUGGGAGCUUUUAAAGCGGCGGGGAGCGUGGCGCAGCCUCUCGGGCUCUCGGUCCCCCGCCCCAUACCCCCCGGCACGGCCCCCACGCCGCCCGGCCGGUCGCACACCCCCAGCCAGCCGAGACCCUUGGACCUGAAAGCCAGAAAUGGUGAGAUGACCGGUGCCUCGCUGACUCUCACGAAGCAAAAUUUUCCAUAGCCUGGGGAUGAGACUUGCAAAACUGCCCUCCACCGUCACCCCGGAAAGUAGGAGGCUUUUCCUGCGGACUCUUUAAAAAAAAAAAAAAAAAAAAAAAAAAAAAAGAGGCCCUUCCAUCCCCUCAGGACUGGGUUUGAAUUGCUUUUCAUCUGGAGUGGCAAUGAUUCAGCGACCCCCUUCUCAGCAGCAGGCAGUGACAGAGACAGGAGACGAAAAACACAGCGAAUGAAUCAGACAGAACUCUGGAAAGCAAGCAGCUUCCUCUUCAUGUCCAAACCUGCCACAGGUCUAACAGCUCCUCUCUGAAGAGACCAACAAUAGCACUUUCAUGAGAAGAGCUGCGGUCGGAGCCCAGGAGGAGACAACGGAAGGCUGGGAUCAGGCGUCUGGGCUAGAGGCCUUUGCAAUCAGACUGGGAACUACACCACAGGCUUUCCUGGAUCUCCAGCUUGCUGACUGCUGAUCUUAGGACUUUUUGGCCCCCCUAAUCAUGUUUCCUUAUUCCCUGACAAACAACAGUAUUUAAAGUAGUGCAAUUAAUAACCCUACAAUGACCUCUAAAUAUUCAAGUGAAAGGAAGAGUUGCAGGUCUCUCACUUUAAAUCAAAAGAAAUGAUUAAGCUUAGUGAGCAAGGCUUGUUGAAAACUGUGAUAGGCUGAAAGCUAGGCCUCUUGCACCAAACACUUAGCCAACUUGUGAAUGCAAAGGAAAAGUUCUUGAAGGAAAUUAAAAGUGCUACUUCAAUGAACACACAAAUGAUAAGAAAGCAAAACAGCCUUAUUGCUGAUACAGAGAAAGUUGCAGUGGUCUGGAUAGAAGAUCAAGCCAGCCACAACAUUCCCUUAAACCAAAGCCUAAUCCAGAGCAACUGGAUUAACUUUCUUCAAUUCUAUGCAGGCUAGGAGAGGUGAGGAAGCUGCAGAAGAAAAAUUUGAAGCUAGCAGAGGUUGGUUCAUGAAGUUUAAGGAAAGAAGCCAGAUCCAUAACAUCAAAGUGCAAGGUGAAGCAGCAAGUGCUGAUGUAUAAACUGCAAGUUAUCCGAAAGAUCUAGCUCAGAUAAUUCAUAAAGGUGGCUACACGAAACAACAGAUUUUCAGUGUAGAUGAAGUAGCCUUCUAUUGGAAGAAGAUGUCAUCUAGGACUUUCAUAGCUAGAGGGGAAGUCAAUGCCUAGCUUCAAAGCUUCAGAGGACAGGCUGACCCUCUUGUUAGGGGCUAACGCAGCUGGUGACUUUAAGUUGAAGCCAAUGUUCACUUACUAUUCUGAAAAUCCUAGGGCCCUUCAGAAUUAUGCUACCUCCACUCUACCUGUCCUCUAUCAAUGGAACAACAAAGCCUAGAUGACAACACGUCUGUUGACUACAUGGUUUACUGAAUACUUUAAGCCCACUGUUGAGACCUCCUGCCUGGAAAAAAAGAUUACUUUCAAAAUGUUACUGCUCAUUGACAAUGCACCUGGUCACCCAAGAGCUCUGAUGGAGACAUACAGUGAGAUUCAUGUUAUUUUCCUACCUGCUAACACAACAUCUAUUCUGCAGCCCAUGGAUCUAGGAGUAAUUUUGGCUUUCCAAGUCUUACAAUUUAAGAAAUACAUUUCCUAAGGCUAUAGACACCAUAGAUAGUAAUUCCUCUGAUAAAUCUGGGCAAAGUAAAUUGAAAAUCUUCUGGAAAAGAUUCACCAUUAUGGAUGCCAUUAAGAACAUUUUUGAUUCAAAGGAAGAGGUCAAAACAUCAACACUAUCAGGAGUUUGGAAGAAGUUGAUUCCAACCAUCAUGGAUGACUUCCACAGUUCCAAGCCUUCAGUGGAGGAAGUAACUGCACACAUGGUAGAAAUACCAAGAGAACCAGAAUUAGAAGUGGGGCUUGAAGAUGUGACUGAAUUGCUGCAUGAUAAAACUUGAAUAGAUGAGGAGUUGCUUCUUAAUGGAUGAGCAAAGAAAGUGGUUUCUUGAGACGGAAACUACUCCUGGUGAAGAUGCUGUGAAGAUUGUUGAAAUGACAACAAAGGAUUUAGAAUAUUAAGUAAACUUAGUUGCUAAAGAUGUGACAGAGUUUGAGAGGAUUGACUCCAAUUUUGAAAGAAGUUCUAUGAGUAAAAUGCUAUCAAACAGCAUUGCAUGCUACAGAGAAAUGGUUCCUAAAAGGAAGAGUCAAUCUAUGCAGCAGACUUCAUUGUUGUCUUACAUGAAGAAAUGGCCAUGGCCACCCCAGCCUUUGGCAACCACAGCCCUGAUCAGUCAGCAGCCAUCAGCAUCCUGGCAAGAGCCUCCACCAGCAAAAACAUUACAACUCGCUGAAGGCUCAGAUGAUGGUUAGCAUUUUUUAGCAAUAAAGUAUUUUUUAAAUUAAGGUGUAUACACUUUUUUCUAGUUUAUGGCACACUUACUAGACUACAGUUAAUGUAAAUACAACUUUUAUAUGCACUGGGAAACCAAAAAAUUUGUGACUCUAUUGCAAUAUUCACUUUAUUGCAGUGGUCUGGAACCAAACCCAAAUAACUCCGAGGUAUGCCUAUAUUAAUAAUCUUACCAAGUAAGGGAUAUAUUAUUAUUAUUCCCUUCUAACUGAUGAGGUAACCAAAACUUAAAUAACUUAUCUUGGGUCACAUUGGUAGUAAGUGCCAGAGACAAUAUUUGAAACCAUUUCUUCCUGACAAUAAGCCCCAGAACAUUUUCAUUGCACCUAGCUUACUAUAUUGGCUAAUAAUUUUGUUAUUGCUGUUUGUUUUUGCAGCCAAGCUACUAGUUUAAAACACCUAACUUGUAAAGGAAAGGAAAUUAGGACAUAAACGUUACCUAUUCUUGGUAAAAUUACAUUUUUGAUACCUUAAUAUAGUUUUAUAAAAAUAAAUACAAACAGAACACUCUUACUUUCCAGACCCAUUCUAUGGUCAUCUAUCCAUCCAUUCAAAACUUAUUUGUUGAGCACAUAGUAUACGCCAGGCUUAGUAGUAGGUGCAGAAACUAUUUUUUGUUUAACUUCCCAGUACUGAGCAUUUCCUGGUGUCCCAUAAACGUUUGCAGUAUGAGUAUGAACAGAAAACUAAAAUACACUUCAAAUUAAAGACAUCUUCUUUCAGUAGGCUGAUAUGUUAUUACAACUGUGAUGUUUCGGAUAACUACUAAAAUUUUUAACAAUUUUAUUGAGAUAUAAGCAAUGAUCCUUAGUAUAUUCACAGAGUUGUGUAAUCAUCACAAUAUCAUUUUAGAACAUUUUAAUCACCCCCAAAAGAAACCCUGUACCCAUUAGCAGUCAAUCCUCAUUCCCCUCCCUUGUCCCCUAGCUUAAAUCAACCACUAACUUAUUUUCUGUCCCUAUCUAUUGGUGUCUUCUGGAUAUUUCAUAUAAAGGAAGCUUAUAAUUUGUGGUCUUUGUGUCUGACUUCUUUCACUUAGCACAAUAUUUUCAAGGUUCAUCCAUACUGUAGCAUGUACUAGCCCU